AUUGAACGCUGGCGGCAGGCCUAACACAUGCCAGUCGAGCGGAUGAAGGGAGCUUGCUCCUGGAUUCAGCGGCGGACGGGUGGGUAAUGCCUAGGAAUCUGCCUGGUAGUGGGGGAUAACGUCCGGAAACGGGCGCUAAUACCGCAUACGUCCUGAGGGAGAAAGUGGGGGAUCUUCGGACCUCACGCUAUCAGAUGAGCCUAGGUCGGAUUAGCUAGUUGGUAGGGUAAAGGCCUACCAAGGCGACGAUCCGUAACUGGUCUGAGAGGAUGAUCAGUCACACUGGAACUGAGACACGGUCCAGACUCCUACGGGAGGCAGCAGUAGGGAAUAUUGGGCAAUGGGCGAAAGCCUGACCGAGCCAUGCCGCGUGUGUGAAGAAGGUCUUCGGAUCGUAAAGCACUGUUAUUAGGGAAGAAGAGAAGUAAGUGAAUACCUGGCUGUCUUGACGGUACCAACAGAAAAAGCACCGGCUAACUACGUG
Molecule: ribosomal RNA, 484 nt
Filed under: uncultured bacterium
Lineage: Bacteria
Description: partial 16S ribosomal RNA
Rfam family: Bacterial small subunit ribosomal RNA
Source: RNAcentral